Non-coding RNA from Misgurnus anguillicaudatus (oriental weatherfish), 400 nucleotides. Lineage: Eukaryota; Metazoa; Chordata; Actinopteri; Cypriniformes; Cobitidae. The record is from RefSeq and is a predicted model, not a curated record.
CACCUAUCAGGGAGGGGCUGCCCCUUCUUAAGCAUCGAUUGGCCGCAGUAUGUUAUGUGUCAUGUCCGAUGUUCCGCUUGGUGCGUGUUGAUAAUAGCGACGGCGUGUCUCUUGCCCUGUGUGUGUGGUGCCCUGGUUGCGCUGUUUAAGUGGAUAUUACGAAUGUUCACCCUCAGUUGCCGGCGGCUGAUAAGGCUGUGCUGAACCCAUGCCUGUAGCAGGUUAUGUUUAUCAUACCAUUGGUUGGAUUCUCCCUUUUUGUUCUCUGCGUCACUUUGCUGUGAUUCCGGAUUUGUGAUCUGCCGUUCGUAUUGCCGUAAAAGCAUCACGGUCUCUUCCACGUAACUCAACGAGGACCGUAAACUGUCUGGUUCAGCUGUGUAUUGCCCCAUUCUAACUA